UAUGGGCUUUUGUAUGUAGUAGUUUGAAUGGAAAAAGAAAACGAGUUUAUUUCCUUUUAGGUAGUGAAUCAAUUAUAAACCGCUUACCGAAUGAAUGAAAGUGACAUACCCAAAGGAUCAAGUUUUGAGUUAUGGGAAACCGAUGAGUUAUGCUCAUAUUUGAACAAAUGGUGAGUGAAAAAAAGAAAGAAAGAAGAAAUGAAAAGAAACACCGGAUAAAUUUCUCACUGUGAUUGCUGUUGCCAACUUUCUGGCUGGAAUCAGAUUUUAUUACCCGAAAAGAAGGCUCUUGAGAAUAGAACGUUGAAGAUGGUUUAAGGAACACUGGUUGUUUCAUCUUCAGAUUUGUACCAUGUCAAGACUUAAUGUAAAAGAGGCUGGUUCCCGAGCUUCCUGGUAUCUGUCAUCUUGGAAAAGUGGCUUUGGCAUUGACAAGCUUAGAGACAAUGACUUACACACCUAUUGGCAAUCGGAUGGGAUUUUACCUCACACAAUUAAUAUUCAGUUCCAUAAAAAGACUAUUAUCACAGAAUUAUGCAUGUACGUUGACUACAAACUAGACGAAAGCUACACGCCAAGCAAAAUUUCCAUCAGGUCUGGUAGCCAUGCUUAUGCCUCAAGAGAAAUUACCGUUUUCGAACUUGAUGAACCGCAUGGUUGGGUGAAUAUUUCUCUUGAGAAUAACGGUCAACCAGUAAAGGCACAUUUUAUACAAAUUGCAAUCUUGUCAAAUCAUUCGGGGGGACGUGAUUGUCGUGUAAGGCAAGUGCGUUUAGUUUCUCCUCUGGAAAGUGGCUGUUCUGCCAUUUUUCACGUUCCACCAUUUUCGACAACUGAAUGUAUGUCAUACAGCUCCGUCCGAUAACAGCUUUUUCUAUAAAAAUGUUUUAACAGAACUAGAUCAAUUCAUCAACUGAACUAAGAUGCGGGAUGAUAAAUGGCGAUGAUUGCUUAUGAAUUAAUAUAUUUAAUAGGAAGAUAAGCCAUCAUAGUAAACAUACAUUCAGUCUUUCUCUAGUGGAAAUAUGGCUUCAUUAGAAUUAUAAGUAAAUUAGAUAGGAAAAGUUAGACGUGACAGCAGUUCUGGUUUUGUGAAAACUAUUCUUCUUGGAGCGUAUAUUGUUAGCAGACUGUGUUUGCAUUUUUGAAGAGUGGCCAGAAUUAAAGAUCUGCAUCAAUUUUUUUCUUUGUUUAAUUGCUUUGUUUUCUAGUUCUGAUGUGUUAUUUUUUUAUGGUUUUUAGUACUUUUAUUUAUGUUAUUUCGCCAUAUUCUGGUCUGUAACAUAACGACGGAAUUAAAUAAUUAUAAUACGCUGGAAAGUUCUGGUAUCAUAUGUCUAACAGUGUUAAGACGCAGAAGCAUUUCUGAGCUGGACUUUAAAUGUAUAAUGAAUGUGUUACAAAAAUUCAUGUUGAAAUAGCUUAAUGACAUUGCAAUGUAUUUGUGUAACUUAAUAAAAUAUAAUAAAAAUAUUAUUAA
Molecule: long non-coding RNA, 1480 nt
Organism: Stegodyphus dumicola
Lineage: Eukaryota; Metazoa; Arthropoda; Arachnida; Araneae; Eresidae
Source: RefSeq, a predicted model, not a curated record